CGCAGAUACCAGGUGGCUGCAACUGUUUAUUAAAAACACAGCACUGUGCAAAAUCGUAAGAUGACGUAUACGGUGUGACGCCUGCCCGGUGCCGGAAGGUUAAUUGAUGGGGUUAGACUUCGGUCGAAGCUCUUGAUCGAAGCCCCGGUAAACGGCGGCCGUAACUAUAACGGUCCUAAGGUAGCGAAAUUCCUUGUCGGGUAAGUUCCGACCUGCACGAAUGGCGUAAUGAUGGCCACGCUGUCUCCACCCGAGACUCAGUGAAAUUGAAAUCGCUGUGAAGAUGCAGUGUACCCGCGGCUAGACGGAAAGACCCCGUGAACCUUUACUACAGCUUGGCACUGAACAUUGACCCUACAUGUGUAGGAUAGGUGGGAGGCUUUGAAGCAGGUACGCCAGUAUCUGUGGAGCCGUCCUUGAAAUACCACCCUUGUAGUGUUGAUGUUCUAACGUCGACCCCUUAUCGGGGUUGCGGACAGUGCCUGGUGGGUAGUUUGACUGGGGCGGUCUCCUCCCAAAGAGUAACGGAGGAGCACGAAGGUGGGCUAAUCACGGUUGGACAUCGUGAGGUUAGUGCAAUGGCAUAAGCCCGCUUGACUGCGAGAAUGACAAUUCGAGCAGGUGCGAAAGCAGGUCAUAGUGAUCCGGUGGUUCUGAAUGGAAGGGCCAUCGCUCAACGGAUAAAAGGUACUCCGGGGAUAACAGGCUGAUACCGCCCAAGAGUUCAUAUCGACGGCGGUGUUUGGCACCUCGAUGUCGGCUCAUCACAUCCUGGGGCUGAAGUCGGUCCCAAGGGUAUGGCUGUUCGCCAUUUAAAGUGGUACGCGAGCUGGGUUUAGAACGUCGUGAGACAGUUCGGUCCCUAUCUGCCGUGGGCGUUGGAAGAUUGAAGGGGGCUGCUCCUAGUACGAGAGGACCGGAGUGGACGAACCUCUGGUGUUCGGGUUGUGUCGCCAGACGCAUUGCCCGGUAGCUAAGUUCGGAAUCGAUAACCGCUGAAAGCAUCUAAGCGGGAAGCGAGCCCUGAGAUGAGUCUUCCCUGAUACUUUAAGUAUCCUAAAGGGUUGUCGGAGACUACGACGUUGAUAGGUCAGGUGUGUAAGUGCUGUGAGGCAUUGAGCUAACUGAUACUAAUUGCCCGUGAGGCUUAACCAUACAACAC
RNAcentral lists this ribosomal RNA (1162 nucleotides) under Vibrio parahaemolyticus. RNAcentral's name for it is "partial 23S ribosomal RNA". It matches the Rfam family "Bacterial large subunit ribosomal RNA", at positions 1778 to 2925 of the family's 2925-position model. The record is from RNAcentral. Lineage: Bacteria; Pseudomonadati; Pseudomonadota; Gammaproteobacteria; Vibrionales; Vibrionaceae.